UAUCCAAUGAUGAAAUCAAACGGGCAAUUCUAACAAUGGACGAACAGGAAGAUCUGCCCAAAGACAUGUUGGAACAGCUCUUGAAAUUUGUUCCUGAAAAAAGUGACAUUGACCUAUUGGAGGAACAUAAACACGAACUGGAUCGGAUGGCCAAGGCUGAUAGGUUCCUUUUUGAGAUGAGCCGAAUUAAUCACUAUCAGCAAAGGUUGCAAUCGCUGUACUUCAAAAAGAAGUUUGCAGAGCGUGUGGCAUUUGGAAAUUAUAUGAAUAAAGGUCAAAGAGGGAAUGCAUAUGGAUUCAAGAUAUCUAGCCUAAACAAAAUUGCUGACACAAAAUCCAGCAUCGACAAAAACAUUACCCUUUUGCACUAUCUCAUCACUAUUGUGGAAAAUAAGUACCCUAGUGUUCUCAAUCUAAAUGAAGAAUUGCGAGAUAUUCCUCAAGCUGCGAAAGUAAAGAGCUGGAAUAUCAGAAGUCUCAGCCCCCACAUCCCGGAGAUAAGUUUGUGUCUGUUGUCAGCCAGUUCAUCACAGUAGCCAGCUUCAGCUUCUCUGAUGUUGAAGACCUUCUAGCAGAAGCUAAAGACCUGUUUACUAAAGCAGUGAAGCACUUUGGGGAAGAGGCUGGCAAAAUACAACCAGAUGAGUUCUUUGGCAUUUUUGAUCAAUUUCUUCAAGCUGUGUCAGAAGCCAAACAAGAAAACGAAAAUAUGAGAAAGAAAAAGGAGGAAGAAGAACGUCGAGCUCGCAUGGAAGCUCAGCUCAAAGAACAACGUGAAAAGGAACGUAAAAUGAGAAAAGCUAAAGAGAAUAGUGAAGAAAGCGGAGAGUUUGAUGACCUUGUUUCAGCUUUACGCUCAGGAGAAGUGUUUGACAAAGACCUUUCUAAACUGAAACGGAAUCGCAAACGCAUUACCAACCAGAUGACUGACAGCAGCAGAGAGAGACCAAUCACAAAACUUAAUUUCUAAUUUUCCAUGAAUACUUUUUUUAGAAAGCUCAUUAGCGGCCCUGUAAAGUGACUAGAACGUUUCAUUACACUGCCUUGCAAUCCAAACAGUGGCAAUUUUUUCCUUCAUCUGUGAGUGAAUGCGUGAAUGUGUGUGUAUGUAAAUGUAUGUGUAUAUAUAUUAAAAAAUGUAUAUAGAUGUCUGAGUGUUGUCUGGAGACCUAUACGUAUGGUUAAAAAGAUUUAUGUUAAUGUAUGUGCUCCGAAACCUUUCGUGUAUGCAUUCACAUUGAGUGUGGCUCAUUUUCUUUCCCUGAACACCAUGACUGUUGAGAAGCACAAUACUAUCUCCUGAAAGAGAUGACAGAGACAUUCCCUAGAUUCAAAGGCAAAACAGAAGAAAAAAACAAAAAAAGCUUGCAAAAUAUUUUAUGGUUUCCAAGCUUGAUAUCCUUUGAAAUUAUUUUCAUUGAUGGAACUGGAGUUGGAAAAAUAUAGAUUUAAAAUGGUUUUUGAUAGCUGACAUUGUGAUGUUGAUGUAUCACAUCAGUAAUAGGACCAGCUUCGAAUUUCUGACAUUGGUGUGGGGAUACAGUCUGUAAAUGUUUAUUGAGAACAUCUUGCACACAAUUUGAAUUAUGUAGAAUGUCAAUCAGAAUUUUUUGUAUAUUUAAAAGUUGGACAUCAAUUUUUUCCCCUGAUUUCAUCAAGUUAUCUCUGCCAAGUGCUCUUGAUAAUUUCUUCAGAUUUUUGGAAAAAAACACUAUAUAAAUGCAAUCCAUGCUUUUUUUAAAGAACAACAUUGCCGGAGUAUGCUUGUUCUAACAAUAUAGAUAUAUAAACCUUAAAAAUAUCUCACCCAAGACUUAAAGGAAGAAUUCUCUGAAGGGAUAAAGAUUACU
Molecule: small RNA, 1850 nt
Filed under: Pongo abelii (Sumatran orangutan)
Lineage: Eukaryota; Metazoa; Chordata; Mammalia; Primates; Hominidae
Description: processed transcript
Source: RNAcentral